RNAcentral lists this ribosomal RNA (460 nucleotides) under uncultured bacterium. RNAcentral's name for it is "partial 16S ribosomal RNA". It matches the Rfam family "Bacterial small subunit ribosomal RNA", at positions 338 to 795 of the family's 1533-position model. The record is from RNAcentral.
CCUACGGGCGGCAGCAGUGAGGAAUAUUGGUCAAUGGACGAAAGUCUGAACCAGCCAUGUAGCGUGAAGGAUGACGGCCCUAUGGGUUGUAAACUUCUUUUAUAAAGGAAUAAAACGAGGCACGUGUGCCUUUUUGCAAGUACUUUAUGAAUAAGGAUCGGCUAACUCCGUGCCAGCAGCCGCGGUAAUACGGAGGAUUCGAGCGUUAUCCGGAUUUAUUGGGUUUAAAGGGAGCGUAGAUGGGUUGUUAAGUCAGUUGUGAAAUUGUGCGGCUCAACCGUGAAAUUGCAAUUGAUACUGGCAGUCUAGAGUACAGUUGCGGUAAGCGGAAUUCGUGGUGUAGCGGUGAAAUGCAUAGAGAUCACAAAGAACACCGAUUGCGAAGGCAGCUUACUAAACUGUGACUGACAUUGAUGCACGAAAGUGUGGGUAUCAAACAGGAUUAGAUACCCUUGUAGUC